RNAcentral lists this ribosomal RNA (32 nucleotides) under Solanum seaforthianum. RNAcentral also lists the same sequence under 1 other name. Lineage: Eukaryota; Viridiplantae; Streptophyta; Magnoliopsida; Solanales; Solanaceae. The record is from RNAcentral.
GGAUGCGAUCAUACCAGCACUAAUGCACCGGA